Magnolia sinica is the source of this 618-nucleotide long non-coding RNA. RefSeq lists it as uncharacterized. The transcript has 4 exons. Lineage: Eukaryota; Viridiplantae; Streptophyta; Magnoliopsida; Magnoliales; Magnoliaceae. The record is from RefSeq and is a predicted model, not a curated record.
AGUCUAAACAUUAACACAUCCAUCCAAUCUUCUUCUCCUUAUUUCUCUCUCUCUCUUAUUUAUUAUUAUUAUUUUUUGUCUGUCAGCACCAAGUCGAUGAGAGAUGAUGGAGGAAUUAAUGUGAUUAAGAAAGCCAUCGAGAAGCUAGGCUUGCGACACAGGAACACAUUUCUGCAUAUGGAGAGGGUAAUGAAAGAAGAUUGACGGGUCGUCAUGAAACUGCAGAUAUCCUCACAUUUUCUUGGGUAAAGAUAUUGGCCGGAGUAGUGUUUGGUUCAAAAUAAUGUGAUAUUGGCUACUAUUCAUGGUGGUCCACACUUGGUGAACAACCCAAAAAUGAGCCCUUCGUUGAUGAUAUUCCACAGUUUGAGGUCCCUAUUGCUGUGAUCCAUCCUGUUCCAAGUCCGGUAAGAAAUGAAAGGAUAUGAAGAUAUCAAGUGAAGAGGAAUGCCGGAGCUUGUGCUGAGGCUACAAUGCCAGAGCUGCAAACAUUUAUCCCAAUGUCCAAUCAAGAGUCCUCUAGUGGUGGUUCGCCCUCAAAUAAUUAUAGAAGCCGCACAGGAGAAGUUAUCGGUAUAGCUGUUGGAUGUGCAAACAGACUCACCAAGAUUUGUAUUU